UGAGUUCUUUCUCAAUCACAGGAGUGUGACAGAGACACCUGUGACAGAGACUGUUCCCUCCCAGUGCUGACUAGCCCCCAGGCCUGUUCCCUUGGGGAUAGUAUAAAGGGCAUCAUCUGCCUGCCCCCAACCUCCAUCAUCACCUUG
Non-coding RNA from Chelonoidis abingdonii (Abingdon island giant tortoise), 147 nucleotides. The record is from RefSeq and is a predicted model, not a curated record. Lineage: Eukaryota; Metazoa; Chordata; Testudines; Testudinidae.